CCGCCAUUUUUAGAGUGGCUGUCUUUGUGUACGUUGUGUUGCUAGUGUAGCAAUAUUUCAUUCGUAGAACCACAUGAAAACUAUUCAAAAAUGGCGAAAUUGUCUACCUAAUGUACUAAACUACUUGGAUGGAGGGUUUUGGCCCGUCGAUGGGCUGUUUUUCAUCGCGAAAAUUGUAGCUGAAAACAAGGGCUGUUGUGGCCUGUUCUAAAGAAUGCGUCGUUCUGGUGAUCCCAAUGUCAGUGACGUUAGGAGAGGGCUUCGCCGCAAGUCAGGUGAUCACCAUCCGCCGGUCAAUUCUGGUGCUGCUGAGGUUAUGACAACGCCACCAUCACCGUCGUUUCAGGCCCAGCAGAGCCCGCUGCAGCAGUUUAUGCUCAGUGCAACCUCUGGUCCCAUGCAGGGUAUAACUUUGCAAGGGCAGACUCUGAAUCUCCAACAGCUUCAGCAGGGCCAGAAUAUCGGGUUGCCAACUGCGGUUCAGCACAACAGAGCACAUUCUCUGGGACAACUAAACGUUCAGCGAACACCAACCUCUCCGCCUGCAGGAGCAUUUCAACAGUUGAGUCCACAAGCUCAAAUCUUGGCUCAACAGUUUUCCCCGACAUCUGUAGCAUUCUCUUUGCAGCCACAGGCAACAGCGACAAACACUUUCCAGCAAAGUCCGCAAACCAGCUUGGCUUUGAACCAACUACAUUUACAACAGCAACAAAGAGCCAAUGCAGCCAAUGCUAUGCUAAACAUACCUAUCAGUCCAACAACAAGAGGUUUACUUGAUCCCGCAUUAACAUUGCGACAAAUGAGUGUCAACCAAUCAAGUGCUAUUCAUAACCAGUUUAUGUUCCAGGAUGAUAGGAAGUUGUUCCCAGAUGGAGAGUUUCAAUUGUCUCGCGAAAGAAUACCCACACAGCCUUUGCCGUCCCCGACUCAACAACCAGUGGGGACAAUCCACCAUCAUGGACCAGGACAGAGUCAUAGCCCGUCGAGAAGCAUUCCUUCGCUCAGUAGUCCAGGGCCAAGUCCCACACACAAUGUCCUUGGUAUACCGGGUCUACAUUUAGGAAGCCAAAUGAGCACACAAGUUACUCCACAAAGGAGAAGCAGUGCAGGAUACAGUCCAACAAAUAGACCGGGUUAUGAAAGAACUAGUCCUAUGUCAGGUGGUGCUUAUAUGAUGCAAACCAGCCCAGUACGGUCCAGCCCUAAUCAAAGUCCAGUGGUGAUGCGAAAAACGCAGCUAAAACCAUUGGAGGAAAAGCCUCCGGCAAACUCGGAAGUAGCUCAUCUGAGAAAAACUGUGUUUGAACAUAAAGAAAAAGAGCUACAAACACUUAAAGAGAACUAUAACGAUAGACUAAUGGAAUUAUUUUUCUUAGAAAAUGGGGGAAACAUGAUGGAUUUUCUUAGUUGGAAGAAACGUCCUACUCCUCAGUUAGUGAACUAUUUGAAAUCACAAAACUUAAACGGUGAAAGUGAAGAGGAGGAGCAAACGAUCAAUGAUGAGGUCAAAGUCAUAACAAAUGUAGGUAGUAAUAUCCCAGUAUGUACUCCUGUUGCAAUCUCUACACAGCUACCACCAGCAGCGUCUGCAUUAUCACAGCAGUUGGAGCAUCAGCAACAGCAGCAGCAAGCCCAAUUUCAAGCCGGUAUGCCACUAGUCUUGCCAAUAGUUACUACAAGUACCUACAGUCAAAUUGACUUUGAGGCUUUGAGGAGACAUGCAUUUAUUCAGUCAGCUUUGGAUGCCAACAAGGCACAGGGUGGUCUAGUUUUUCCGACUGGUCCUCAGCCAAAUGUAACCCUUCAGCCAGGCAUGGUAUCACCAAUACCAUCAGUGGCACAAGUUCCACAGACGCCUCCCAUUGCUGGUCAGUUGGUAGGUCUUCCAGUGCAAAAUUCUGCCCCACUUCAUGCACCGCCGCCAUCACCUCAAGUCUCGGUUGGUGCUACGGUCUCAACUGUAUCUUCAAACUACCACCACCAACAACCACCAAUGCAACAGUUGGUCAAAGCACUGACAGAACCACCAGCAACGGCUGUAUCGGCUCCGCCACUGACAGAAGCUUUGACUUCAUCUGUUCCUACAGCAACUACAACCACAACUGUUGCUGCAGCAAGUGCUGCAACUGCAACAACCACCAGUGUCAAUACACCUUUAAUGGUAUCAACUGCACCAUCCAGCAUGCCUGGGGUGUCUCCAACUGCGCUUUCUCUUGCUAAGAUGCCCAAGUCUCCACUUUCUCCCACUUCACACCAGAGAUUUCUUACAAGGCAGCACUCAAUCUCGGCUGUAUACGACUAUACCAUUGGGUCACAAGAAGAGAUUGUGGAACGAGCAAAGCAGGAAGCACAGGUAAUGCAGAGAAUAGCCCAGCUUAGGAAAGAAGGUCUAUGGUCAGCACGGAGAUUACCAAGAGUACAAGAACCACCGAGGUGCAAGACACAUUGGGAUUUCUUGCUAGAAGAAAUGCAGUGGUUAGCUGGUGAUUUCUUACAAGAAAGAAAAUGGAAAAAGGCUGGUUGUAAAAAGGUGGCUCGAGCAGUUGUGAAAUUUUUCCAGGAGAAAAAAUUGAAGGAAGACAGAGCUGAACGAGAAGAAGGGCAGAAGUUGAAGAGAAUAGCAAGUACUAUUGCUAAAGAAGUUAGACAAUUCUGGUCAAAUAUUGAAAAAGUCGUGCAAUAUAAACAACAGUCGAGGCUAGAAGAGAAGAGGCGGAAAGCUCUGGAUCUACAUCUUAAUUUUAUAGUUGGUCAGACUGAGAAAUAUUCUUCAUGGCUCACUGAAGGUCUUACUCAGGGUUCACUUCAAGGAUCUUCAGUGCCCGGUUCUGUUGGUACAAGUCCAUCAAGAUCUGUCAGCGAUUUUGGCGUAGAUGAUGCAGAUUUUGAACCUGCACAUGAAGAGACUGAUGAUGAGGAAACCAUUGAUGUAGAGGAACAGCAAGAUGAAAACGAAGAUAAAAGUCAUGAAAUCAGGAUGUUGCAAGAAGAAAGUGAAGUUCCCAUUGAAGAACUGAUUAAUACUCUGCCGCCUGAAAUACUGGAAAAACCUGCUAGUAUCAAGGGUAGUGAUGACGAAAUUGAUGAAAAGGAUGAAGAAAAGAAUGAUGAAGAAUUUGUACCUUCUGAUGGAGAGGGUGAUGAUCAAGUAUUUGAUGAAGAAGAAACCAUAGAAGAACAGGAAAAAGUGGAGAGUCAAGUUAACCAUGAUGAAGAACUCAAUGAUCUAGCUAAAGAAAGUGAACUAUCAAUGGAAGAUUUACUGAAGAAGUAUGCUGCUGCAUAUGAUGAGGAUUUUGAAUAUCCACAGAUGAGUGAGGAUGAUUUGGAGACAGAUGAGACAGAAGAAAGUGAAUCAGAAGCAGAAUCCGAAAGUGAAGAAGGAAGUGAUGAGGAAGAAGAACUGGUUGAUAUUGGAAUGGAAUACCUUAUUAAUCCGGAUAAGGAAAAUGAUGAGCCAGUUGAGAAAAAGGGUGAGCAAGAUGGGAAAGGUCCUAAUAAAGAAAUUACAGAUAUAGCCGCUGCUGCUCAAAGCAUCCAACCUACAGGUUAUACAUUAUCUACUACUCAGGUCAAAACUCCUGUGCCUUUCUUGCUGCGACAUAAAUUACGUGAAUAUCAACACAUAGGCUUAGACUGGCUAGUAACUAUGCAUUGCAGUAAACUCAAUGGGAUCCUCGCAGAUGAAAUGGGUCUAGGUAAAACUAUACAGACGAUAGCGUUAUUUGCACACCUUGCUGAACAAGGUAACUGGGGCCCUCAUUUGAUAGUUGUACCCACCAGUGUAAUGCUGAACUGGGAAAUGGAAUUCAAGAAAUGGUGCCCUGGAUUUAAAAUUUUAACCUACUAUGGCAAUCAGAAAGAGCGAAAACAAAAACGGCAGGGUUGGACCAAAACCAAUGCAUUCCACGUGUGUAUCACUUCUUACAAGUUAGUAUUGCAAGACCACCAGUCCUUCAGGCGAAAGAAAUGGAAGUACCUUGUCCUGGACGAAGCUCAAAACAUCAAGAACUUUAAAUCACAAAGGUGGCAGACUCUUCUGAAUUUCAAUAGUCAGAGACGUCUUUUGCUAACAGGAACUCCUUUGCAAAACAAUCUGAUGGAACUUUGGUCCUUAAUGCAUUUUCUCAUGCCACAUGUGUUCCAGUCGCAUCGUGAAUUUCGAGAAUGGUUUUCAAACCCAUUGUCGGGAAUGAUUGAAGGCAGUCAGGAAUACAAUGAAAACCUCAUCAAGAGAUUACACAAGGUGCUACGUCCUUUUCUCCUUCGUCGAAUAAAGAAGGAAGUGGAAACUCAAAUGCCAUCCAAAUAUGAACAUGUUCUAAAGUGUCGUUUGUCAAAGAGACAAAGAUAUCUUUAUGACGAUUUCAUGUCUCGUGCAAAGACGAAAGAAACUCUUGCUUCAGGCCAUUUUAUGAGUGUCAUCAACAUCUUAAUGCAACUCCGUAAAGUGUGCAACCACCCCGAUUUGUUUGAAUCAAGACCAAUUAUUUCACCUUUUUACAUGGAAGGCAUCUGCUUCUACACUGCCUCGUUGCUUUGACUGCAAUGGAAUAUAAUCCAUUUAAGCAUAUUGAUUUGAGAUCAAUCAAUCUUUGUCUCGCCGACCUGGAACUUACACUGCCAGCAUUUGCAGCCCAUCGAAUAAGGAAACUACAAACUCCCAGGCCCCUGAUAGAAGAAAUAGAUUCAUUGCCAGAUCCACCACCCCGGCCGCCAAAGAUGAAAAUCAAACCUGGUAGACUAUUUACAUGUUCGCCCUCCCCAAAAGAAGGGAGGACAUCCCCGUUUGUUCCCAUCCCAUCGCCUGUGAGUCAGGCGAGAGCAUCACCAGUUCCAAGGUCUUCACCAGCACCUGUACAGGUGGUACCAAGGUCACCCGCAACACCACCUAUUGCUGUGUUAUCAACACCAGCCAUUUCAAUACCUCAAGGAAUCACUACCAGCAUGUCCAAUAUUGGACAAGUACAAGUAACUGAUCUGCAGGUAUCUCAACCUGCGAGUACAGUCAGUGCAGCAAUAACAACAACACAACCACAACAGUUACCUGGUUACACUGUGCCUGCUACUAUGGUACAGCCUGGAAAACUAGUUGUCCAGUCUUCAGGAACUGCUACUUCGAGUAUUAGAUCGCAGCUUGUCACUUCACAACCGAUCACUGUGCAGAUUGGACAGCAAGGUGCGAGGCUAGCUGUGCCACCAGGACAGCUGAGACAAUUACCUCAAGCACCAACACCUGCACGGACAACACAAAUUGCAACCCCAGCACGGACAGCAACAUCCAUACGGACUCCAACCCCUACUCCUACAGUAACAGCUGCAGUUGCAUCACCUGUAUUGGCAACCAAAUCCAUAGAGUGUGAGAUGCCGAUGAUGACGACGAGAGCCACAGUCACAAGCAUUAAGAAAGAGGUUGAUGAUGAAAUACAAUCUGUCAAAUCACCUUUGUAUCUGGAAUCUGUUGCUGAAGCCAAACGACAAGAACGUACAGACAAACUGAAAAGCCUAGUUCGUUUUAACAACUAUCGAUGUGACGCAUGUCCUGUGUAUGGGCAAGACUUGUUCCAGGCAGUGUCCAUUCUGAAUGACACUGUACCAUGUAGGGUGAUGGAUACAACGUGGAGGAGUGCUGGAUUGAUUCAUUGUUAUAACGUACAUAGCAAUCCCAAUGUUAACCAUCCUCAAGUGUACUUCAGGCAGACCCAAACUUUACGAAACUUAAUCAGAGUUCCUGAGCAGAUAGUGGAAGAUCUGAAAGAGAUCAUUGACAGGUAUGCGUUCUGUGUUCCAACAACAGAGGCAAAGCCAGUGACAAUGCAUGCAUCCCAUGCGCCACCAAGUCUGCUGAAAAAGAAUAUGGAGAUGAGGGAGAUUUUACAUAAUCAGCUGAUGCCAAAAACGCUUUUACUAAGUCCCUUUGAAUCUGCGAUGAAAAUGCACUUCCCUGAAAGACGGCUUAUACAGUAUGACUGCGGCAAGCUCCAGAGACUUGAUCAUUUACUUCGAGAGUUGAAGUAUGGAAGUCACAGGGUGCUGAUAUUCACCCAGAUGACUCGUAUGCUUGAUAUUCUGGAGUGUUUUCUCAACUACCAUGGUUAUACUUAUCUUAGAUUAGACGGCACAACUAAGAUUGAAAUGAGACAGGCUUUAAUGGAACGUUUCAAUGCAGAUAAAAGGGUCUUUGUAUUUAUACUAUCAACACGUAGUGGUGGUGUUGGUGUGAAUUUGACUGGUGCAGACACUGUCAUCUUUUAUGACAGUGACUGGAAUCCUACCAUGGAUGCACAAGCUCAGGAUCGAUGUCAUAGAAUUGGACAAACAAGAGAUGUACACAUUUACAGAUUAAUUAGUGACAAGACAGUGGAGGAGAAUAUUCUGAAGAAGGCUAAUCAGAAACGAAUGUUGGUUGAUGUUUCCAUUGAAGGAGGUAACUUUACAACUGCCUUUUUCAAACAGUCUAGUAUUAGUGAUCUGUUCAACAUGUCGGCACAGGCACAGAAAGAAGAGAAAAAGGUUCUAAUUGAGGAAAUAAAGCCUGAACCAGUACAAGAUCCGUUAUCACAGACUGAACUAGAGCAGGCUUUGGCUAAAGCAGAGGAUGAAUUAGAUGUGAAGGCAGCUACCAUAGCCUGUGCAGAACAAGAAGCAGAGUUGGCCGAGUUUGAUGAAAAUAUUCCAAUAGAUGGGGAAGAUAGUCAACAACCAUCUGAAGAAGUGUCCAAAGUGGAGGAAGAACUCUCUCAACUUGAAGAUCAGCUCACACCAGUUGAAAGGUAUGCUCUGAUAUACCUCGAAUCUACACUGGAACCAGUUGCGUGUGAACAGUUGAAACUUGCAGAGGAACAAGUUGAAGCGGCAAAGAAAGAAUGGGAGUUGGGGAGAUUACAGAAAUUGAAAGAGGAAGAAGAGCGUAAAGCAGAGAUGGAGGAUGACGACAUCCUGUAUACGUACAGCAGGGAGGAAGCGUAUAACAAGGUGCAUAAACAAAAAAGACGAAGCACUAGGGAUAGUAGUAGACGCUCAUCAGGAGUUUCCCGCUCAAAUAAUGCAAAAUCAAAAUCUAAUGAUAAUUCUAGCAAUAGUGUCUCCCAGCAAAAAAAUUCAACCCAACAAUCAAUUCAAUUGCCCAAGUCUCCAACAACUCGCCUAUUAGUAGAAAAUGGACCCACCACUCCGAAAGCUAGCCCCGCUCAGUAUAUUACUCGGCGUAAUAGUGAAAACUUUGGUAAAUGCGGCAGUGGUUCUGAUCUCAACUCUCCUAGUAGUAUAGAUGGCCAUGUAAUGACCAGAUCUAGGAAUAAUUCUUCCAGUAACAUAGAUGCUGUUGCUCUUGGUAGCCCCAGAGCUAGCUCGCCGAUUAAACAAAUGUGCUCCCCAACUAGACAGAGGCGAAGCUCCAGAAUAUCCUCAGACGAUCUUGGCAAUGGUGGUGGUACUACUCUUACCCAUUGCCAUCUCAAGUACAGGGCCAUGCGAUCGUCAUGGAUGCAUGCAAGGAAUGGUGUAUGCGGAGAGUUGAAGGACUCCAAUGUGGUUUAUGUAGCAGAUACUUCAUCAGCUGUGAUGCCAAUGUGGGCACCACCAACCCCUCCCCAGGAUGACAAUGAUGUGUACAUAGAUACAGCCAUGUGUAUAUUGUAUGAGAGCAAUCCCAUGUCGGAGUCUCAACUACCACAGUGUUACGUCAAGAAGGAACGUGUCAAGAGAAUACGAUUAGAUUCAGUUGGUCAUAAGAAGGUUCUCAAGGGAGAGCAUGUCCACUUGCCAAGAUCACUGUUCGACCGCCCAACUGCUGCCAUUAUCAAGAUGAGACGUGAAGCCAAGCAACUAAAGAUCAAAGCGUUAAUGAAGCAGCAGCCAAUGAAACCGAUACCUGUAGUCAAUAAGCCAGUCAUUGAUACGCAGCAAGACAAGCCUGAGUGGCUGAUUAAUGAAGAUUGGGCUUUAUUACAGGCGGUGCAGACUCUUCUUGAGCUACCCCUGAACCUGACGGUGGUGUCACCAGGUCACUGUAUCAAUUGGGACUUGGUAAGCGAUGUGGUCAACUCGUGUAGUCGCAUUUACCGUUCACCAAAGCAGUGCAAGAAUCGAUACGAGAGCGUGAUAGUGCCGCGAGAAGAGGGGAAGAUUUUGUACGAUACCAAUCCAAAGAAGCAGAAAAAAUCCAAGGGUAUCUAUAAGUUGCUUGGAUUUCAGACCAAAAAUAACAGGACCCAUGAAGACAAGUCAGCUGUUCUCACAAGAUCAAAACUCUUCUUUCUCCAACUUGCUGUCUGGUAAAUUUGACCUGGUGAAAGUCACAGCUUCAAAGCGAACACCACCUCUGAAACAAGUAUUAAAAAAUCCAAACCAAAAAAAUCCCAAACAUGCAGCGGUGUUGUUGGACAGUAGUAUCAAUUAUGACAAACCUCUAGUACCUGUACAAGUGGCGGCCAUCAGAGCUGAGCGUAUUUCGCGGGAGAAGAAACAGCAACAACUUGCAGCAGCCAAUGCUGCGGCUGCAGCAGAACAGCAACAGCAACAGCAACAGAGAAUAGCUGCUGCACAACAGCAACAAGCAGCUGCAGCAGCAGCUGCUGCUGCUGCAGUUCAACAGCAGCAGCAAGUGGCUCAAGUCCAACAGGCUCAGCCAACUGCAACAGUUCAGGUUGCUCAAGCCGUGCCGGUAGCUGCUACAGCAACGACAACAACGGUUGUGCAAACUGGUCCACUUACAAGAACACCGCCAGUGAAAGCAGCCGGUAACAACAGUAUAGUGGUGAACACUGCAGGCAGUGUGGCAUCGGUGGGAGCUGGCACUACAUUUGCCAACAUUAAUAAAAGAAUGAGUCAAACUGCAUCACUUCCGGGUCAAGUUACGGCUGCAACUAUAAGUACUAUUCCAUCAACUAUUGUUGGUGCAACAAGACAGCAGCAAAUCCGAACACCUAUACAGGUUUCAGCAGCUGAGGUAGCAGCAGUAGUUGCAGGGCAAGUACAGCGUACAGGUGGCAUAACUACUGCAGUUGCUUCCCCAGUAACUGCUUUACAACAAGGAAGAAUUGCUGUCACAACUACAGGCAGCACCAAAAGCCUUACUCCUGCCCAAGUAGCUUACAUAAAACAGCAGCAGCAGCAGCAACAACAACAGCAGUUACAGCGCAAGGCAAUUGCCCAGCAGCAGCAGCAGCAACAGAAUGUCCAGUUGCGAUUACAGCAGCAGCAGCAGCAGCAGCAACAACAAAUAAAACGUCUUCAGAUCCAUCAAGGUCAGGCUCAAGCUCAUCCAGUAACACAAAAAGUGACGAUUGUUAGUACUGGAGUGGUAACCAGUGUAUCGCAAGCACAUCUUGCAACACAGGCACGGCAGAUACAGGCAUUAAAGCAGCAGCAACUGAAGACUACCAGGACUGUGACUGAAGCCGAGAUGACUGCUCUGCUCCAGAGAAGGCAAGCUCUGCAUCUGCAUCAACAGCAUCAACAGCAGCAAAAGGUUCAAUCAGCAGCCCUGGUUGCUGCUAAAUCAGUAGCGCCAGUUUCUGUGACUGGCACCUCGCUCUCUCUUGGUGGAAUAACCGUGAAUGUAACUAAACCGCAGCAACAAAAAGCAACAGUCACAUUAACCUCACAGCAGCAACAGAUUCGACAUUUGCACCUGCUUCGGCAGCAAAAGCAGCAACAGGCACAGCAUGCCCAGAAGGUGCAAGCAUUAACAAAAAAUCAAGGAACUGUACAAUUUACAUCGAUGACUAAAGCACAACUGCAGCCACCGUUAACUCAGGCACAGCUGAAACAGCUGCAACAGUUGCAGCAACAGCAACAGAAACAGUUGCAAGGUUCUCCUGUUACUGUGCAUCAGAUUACAAAGUCGAUACCGGUCAUCUCGCAAACCACUGGUGGGAUUUUGACAGUAACUUCACAGGCACCUUCCACAGUAAUCACCACUCUACCCACUUCAGCCACCAUUGUGACGUCAUCACCUGGCAUUGUCUCACAUCAACAAUUGGCUAAACUGCAGCAAGCUAUGGCAGUGUCAAAACCUAUGGUUGCAACUUCUCACUCGAUUGUUCACGUGAGUAGUGCAGCAACGCUUAGUGUGCCGCCAACUGCCACAAUGACUAUCACCACUCCGGCUAAGCCUGUUAUAGCUGUCACAACACAGCACCUCUCUCCUCAGGUGCAUCAAACAUUGCAGCACAAAGCACAAACACAGCAAGUUACACCACAGCCUGUGAGGGUGCAACAAGUACAGUUACAGCUACAGCAGCAGCAGCAGCAGCAGCAACAGCAGCAGCAGCAACAGCAGCAGCAGCAACAACAGCAGCAGCAGCAACAACAGCAGCAGCAGCAACAACAACAGCAGCAGCAACAACAACAGCAGCAGCAACAACAACAGCAGCAACAACAACAACACAGCAGCAGCAGCAACAACAGCAGCAGCAGCAGCAACAACAGCAGCAGCAGCAGCAACAACAGCAGCAACAACAGCAGCAGCAGCAGCAACCACAACAGGCAGCAAAGCCAUCACCUUAUGCUAUGAGACUCAGAAAUCCUCCAAAACAUUAGACAUUUGAAAAGAAAGAAAAAAAAAAUGUAUUUGUAAUAUUUACAAAAUACAGCCAAAUAGUUGUUGGUGGAUAUAUUUUUCAAUACUAUGUGCUGUGACAAACACUCGCCAUGUCUGAUAUGUUUGACAUUUGCAAUCAUUUAGUAAAAUACUACCUUUGUAGUUAAUAAUUUAAGAGAAUAACCAUUCCAACUUUUUUCAUUUUUGGAAAUACUUUUUUUUUCCUGCAUGUACACUAGCUAAAAUUCUGUAUGAUUUGUAUGUAUUUAUUUGAAAACCCAUUUGAAGAGUACAUUAAUAGACACAUUUGUAAAUAUUUUUCCAUUUUUUCCAACAUUUUUGAUUUCAUACUUCUCUACAAUGUUUUUUAUUUGAAGCCGUCAUCUUGCAAUUAUACCAUUUGUGUUAUCCUUGUGUGGUCAGUCCGGGGUUGGGGGUGUUACCAUGUGAUUCAAACUGUUUAUUGGUUAAAAAAUAAUCACAUGGUACUGUCAAAGUUCAAACGUGUUUGCGUGUUCAGGCAGUGUAAUACAUUCAUACCAAACAAAUUCUCUGGUUUUGGCAGAUGUCUUCAAAAGUCAUACAAGAUUUUCUUCUAUGCUGGGUACUGAUAGGUGGAAUCAUUAUUGCUGUAUUUUGAUUAAAUUUCCUAAUUCUGUUCUGCCAGCUUCUUCACUGAAUUUCAAGGAGAAUAUGUAAACUCACUGGGGAGUGGUAGUUGGUCCCAUUUUAAAUAUCGCUAAACAUUAGUGUGGGGAAUUUGAAUAACUAAGUAUGCCUACUGUUAUGAUCAUUGACAAAGACUAGUCACUGGCCAAUGUUGCAAGAUUUUCAAAUUUGUUACCGUAAUACUGAGGAUAUGCCAAGAACGGACCUGCCGAGAUGCUACGGAAAAUCCAGUAAUUCACCAAUGUCGCGAGUUGUAGAGUGGGAAUUGAAAGCUUAGACAGCUGGGUUGAUUGUUCGAUAUAAUACAAUCAAUGUAACACAACAUUGUGUGUCUACCCAUAUGUAGACAAUAGCAAAUAUAUUCAAAUAGUGAAAUCGGAUAAAUUCAAGUCCUUGAUGCCCUGCAAAAGACUUGAUGUUAAGGUGCUUUGACUGUCGGUUUAUUUUAUGCGAAUUGUGAGUUUGCUUAAUUUUUACUUCGUAAUCAGUUGAAUUUGUACAAGGUAAUACUAUGGUUUUUUUUAUCCCUUGGCAGUAGUCUCAUCCAGGAUGUCCCAUUUGUACCACUUUCUGGGGAUUCUCUGAAUAAAUGUGCAAAAACACUGCAAGAAAUAGGCAAUCAUAUUAUUUGUGGCCAGCAUUUUCAAUCCAGAAGUCAGAGAAAUAUCUUUUUUUUGUAUGAUCUGGAAAUGUCAAUGGAAUUUCCUCAACAUUGGGAAAUAUAACUCGCACAAGUUCCUGAUUAUUGCCAAAGUAUCUAGCGCUGUUGAUGAGAAAUUACUUUGUUCCCACCCACCAAAACACAAAGAUUGGAAGGAGGAUGAUGAACUAGUAGAUAAUGUGUGCCAGAAAAGUAAUUUUGACAUGUUUGAUGUUGCAGAUACAUUCAGUGGUUUGUAAAGGAAAUAAUAGGUUGUUAAUAACAUUGCGUAUUAUACAGGUUUUAAUUUAGCGAAAGAAAUGAGGGAGAUAAAACCCAGCUACUGAUUUAGGCCUCUGCAGUAGGUGAUUUGAAUGAAAAUCAUAGAAAUAUAACCAAGAUAAAAACUACGUUGCCAUAGCCUACAAAGAUGAAAUAAUACAAUUAAGGCACGAUUUUAAAAAAAAGUUGUUUUUUUUGAUUCAGUAAGGGACCCAAAUCUUUAAGACAAGUUAUCUUGCUCCCCCUUCAAAUGCUGAAUGAGAUGCCAGUUAUUUUGCUUUCCUCCCCAGUUUAACAUCACGCUUACAUGACAACACGCAUUGGGAUUGAUUCAUAUUCCAGCACAUGCAUUUCAUUUCUGUCAGUUUCACUCAUCACAGGGAAUGUUUUGCCAAUUUUUUUUAGCCUAAUUGGGGGGUGAUGAUAAAUAUACAUGUGCAUUGCAAAAGUUGUACCGUAGUUGAAGCCAUUAUUCUUAUCCAUGAUGCCCUGUCAGUGUGCAAUUUACCAGUGUCCCAUUAUAGUGCAGAAAGUCAACUUGAAAAGUUCAUCGCGAAAACUGCACAAUCGGCUUAGAAUUUGUUUUUUGUUUAAUUUUUUGUUUGUGAGAGCUGCACCUCAAUCUUGUAUACUCCCAUAUGGAGGCUUGAUCAAAUCUCCUAAUAUUAGACGUCCAAUGAGCGUUUCAAGCACAGUUUGCUCACAUACGAGAUGUCCCAUUGGAUUUUGUCAAAUAUGUGAGCGAAUAACCAACCAAAGUUGAUAGUCUCAAGUGCUUGUACAUUACAUCUCAUUUCAAUCAGAUAGUUAUCGUGCCACAUGUUGGAUGUGUGUCCCAUAGCAACGCAUGGAAAAUGCAUUUCAUUUUCAAUCUGAUUAAGCAAUGCAUAAUGUGAUGAUAAUAAUGGCAUUCAUUCAGUGUUGAAUAGUUUGUUGUCACCUUAAUUGCCUUAAAUGUUGUAUUUAAAAAAUGUUAAUGGAAAGGAAUUGUUUUUCCAUCUUGUAAAAUUAACUAUAAUACCAAACUUGUUGUAUUAAAGUUGGGCUUUUUAACAAAA
Molecule: non-coding RNA, 13195 nt
Organism: Saccoglossus kowalevskii
Lineage: Eukaryota; Metazoa; Hemichordata; Enteropneusta; Harrimaniidae
Source: RefSeq, a predicted model, not a curated record